CUCAAACUUGAGAUCCUCCUGCCACAGCCUCCCAGGGUGCUGGGAUGACAGACAUGUGCCACCACGCCCUGUGAGAAGGCUGCUUGUGACAGGUGUGGACGCAAUCGGAGAGUCUUUAGGGGCCACAGCUUUGGGUCAGUCUGUGGGUCCCUGGUGUCUGGGGUGGGGGUGCCGGUGGCCUGGGGUCUGGCUGGGAGAUGCGGCUGGUGGAAACAGCCCCAGAGAGGGGCUGUGGCUUUGAGGGCCGGGGACCUGGGUCCACAGCCUGUUCUCUGCCCACGGCCCCGUGGCCUCCCCAGAGCAGGACAGGCCUGGGUUCCUGAGAGCGGCUUUCUUGAUGCCCUGCUUCCGGGAAGUUCUAUCCCAGAAAGGGCAGAUGCUCGAGCGGGUGCUGGAUGUGGGCGGAGCUCCAGGAGCAGGCUCUUGGCCAGGCCCUGGAGAAGGAGGGCUUUCAGAGAAGCCAGGCGCUGGCUCCCUACAGGCCUGCCAUGACCUCAGGCCUGGGUCUCUGGGAGCGCUAGCCCUGCCUGCCUCAGUUUCCCUGUUUGUAUUUCUCAGAGAAGCCAAGGAGUGUGGGCAUGAACACCCCCUGAGAACGCUGGGUCCUCCCAAGCCUCCUCUGUCCCCAGACGGAGCCCCCACCUCCAGGCCUACGCUGGGCCUGUUUCCUGGGCAUCCGUCCUGUGCUGGGGUUGCUGCCCUGCCUGACGCCCACCUUCAGAGUUGCCUGAGUGUGCACUGCGAAGCGGGGUGUGGGAAGACAUUGGUGACUGCGUCUGUGAGACCCCAGAGCAGACCUGGAGGAGCUGCCCCAGGUUAAGUCCAGUCUGGAGAUAUGUUUGCUGCGGCCCUUAAAGUACUUUUAAGAACUGAAUCAGUGGCCAGUGUUUGAAACGCAAGGCUGUUCUAUGUAAAAUCCAUUUCUCUGGAUCCUCUUGGCAACCGGGAAGAUCUGGCCCACCGUAGGGGGCUGGAGUGGGGUCCCAGGCGGAGAACAGCCCAUAGCAGUCGCUCUCCUGCUUACCCAGCUCCUGCUUGGCUCUCUUUCUUCAUACAAGUUGUCUGCCAGGGUCCUGAAGUAUGAAUAGGAGUUUGCCAGAGAAAGAGGGGUAAAAAGGAAUUCUAGGACAGAGGACAGCUAUUCAACAUUCACUCCACAGUUACAUUUCAGUGCCGACUGCAUGCACAGGGGCAGACAGCAGGAAGCCAGGCAGAUCCAAGUCCCUGGCCUCAGCCUAGGGGGUCUCGAUGGGGAGCAGUCUAUAGUUCCCCUCAAGACACUUGGCUGUGCCUGGGGAUAUCCGGUUGUUACCGCUGGGGUGGGAGGGGUGCCACCGAGCUCACGGGACACUGUCCAUGGUGUCCAGCAGGGUCCAAGGUCAAGACCUGGGCAGCAGGCCGGGGAGUGCUGACUCUGAGCUCCACUCAGAGCGUGGGGCCGGGGUGUGGGGGCCGUGGCUGCCUGGGGAGGGGCCACCGAGACUGGGGACAGGCAGGAUCCAGACAGUACAGUCCCCGAUGGGUCAAUCAAGGGUCCCCGACCUCUCCUUCCAGGGUCCUGGAGCUCCUUGGAAGUGGCAAUGGUCUCUGAUUGCCUUCUGUCAUUCAGUCAACAAACACUUGUCGGGAGCCCACGGGCCUCAUGAGAUGGGACCUCUCCAGGCACAGCUGCUGCCACCGGUCACGCGGCACACAGUGGGUGCAAGGACAAGGCGGGCAGAAGAGGAACGGAAGGGGUGAAGGAGGAAACAAGCCCGUCUGACAGAAGACCGAAUGUCUCCCACUGCUGCGGCCCCAGCAAGCCUCGUAACAGUAGUGUCCGGUGUGUGACACACCAGGAGUGUGAUCAUCGCUGCGGCCCUGGUGCCUGUGUCACGGAGUGUUAUGAGGGAGGGGCUGUGAAGUCUGGAGCUGCAGCAGCCACUUUGUGUCAAUGAGGAGAAUCAGCUGGAGGAUAAAGCCCAAGUCCUAGGACGCUGGUCCUCACUGGCGCCUCUGAGCUGUCACAUUAACCAAUCCUGAGAUAACAAGAUCUUUACAUUUAAAGCCUUUUAGAGAGUGUCGAGAGCACCUGACCAAGGUGGCAAACCCUAUAGAUAAGAGGUUGCUCCCAAAUUGCCCUUGCUAUUCCACACCCGCCUCCUGAGUCAUGCAAAGGGCCCCCGUCUCACCGCUGC
This is a long non-coding RNA of Chinchilla lanigera (long-tailed chinchilla), 2177 nucleotides long. RefSeq lists it as uncharacterized. NCBI's taxonomy places the organism in Eukaryota, Metazoa, Chordata, Mammalia, Rodentia, Chinchillidae. The record is from RefSeq and is a predicted model, not a curated record. The transcript has 3 exons.